UGGGGAAUAUUGCACAAUGGGCGCAAGCCUGAUGCAGCCAUGCCGCGUGUGUGAAGAAGGCCUUCGGGUUGUAAAGCACUUUCAGCGAGGAGGAAGGUGGUGAGCUUAAUACGCUCAUCAAUUGACGUUACUCGCAGAAGAAGCACCGGCUAGCUCCGUGCCAGCAGCCGCGGUAAUACGGAGGGUGCAAGCGUUAAUCGGAAUUACUGGGCGUAAAGCGCACGCAGGCGGUUUGUUAAGUCAGAUGUGAAAUCCCCGGGCUCAACCUGGGAACUGCAUUUGAAACUGGCAAGCUAGAGUCUCAUAGAGGGGGGUAGAAUUCCAGGUGUAGCGGUGAAAUGCGUAGAGAUCUGGAGGAAUACCGGUGGCGAAGGCGGCCCCCCUGGACGAAGACUGACGCUCAGGUGCGAAAGCGUGGGGCAGCAAACAGGAUUAGAUACCCUGGUAGUCCAGCGCUGUAAAACGAUGUCGAUUUGGAGGUUGUGCCCUUGAGGCGUGGCUUCCGGAGCUAACGCGUUAAAUCGACCGCCUGGGGGAGUACGGCCGCAAGGUU
Molecule: ribosomal RNA, 553 nt
Filed under: uncultured bacterium
Lineage: Bacteria
Description: partial 16S ribosomal RNA
Rfam family: Bacterial small subunit ribosomal RNA
Source: RNAcentral